ACGAGUGAGGGUCCCCUGGGCCCGACCUCCCAACCCCAUGUUUAUUGAACCUCUGUUGCUUCGGCGGACCCGCCUCACGGCCGCCGGAGGAUUGCCCACAAUCCUCUGGCCCGCGUCCGCCGACGGCCAACCAUUAAAACUCUUGAAUGAAUCGUGUCAUGAUGUCUAAGUCUAUGAUUAAAUAAAGCA
RNAcentral lists this unclassified non-coding RNA (189 nucleotides) under uncultured fungus. RNAcentral describes it as "sequence contains ITS1, 5.8S rRNA gene". The record is from RNAcentral. Lineage: Eukaryota; Fungi.